AAUUUUCCGCAAUGGGCGAAAGCCUGACGGAGCAACGCCGCGUGAGGGAAGAAGGUCUUCGGAUCGUAAACCUUUGUCUUUGGGGACGAUAAUGACGGUACCCAAGGAGGAAGCCACGGCUAACUACGUGCCAGCAGCCGCGGUAAUACGUACGUGGCGAGCGUUGUCCGGAAUUACUGGGCGUAAAGGGCGUGUAGGCGGCUAUUUAAGUCAGAUGUGAAAUCCCAGGGCUUAACCCUGGAACUGCAUUUGAGACUGGAUGGCUUGAGGAUCGGAGAGGGCAGUGGAAUUCCCAGUGUAGCGGUGAAAUGCGUAGAUAUUGGGAGGAACACCAGUGGCGAAGGCGGCUCACUGGCUCGAUACUGACGCUGAGGUGCGAAAGCGUGGGGAGCAAACAGG
RNAcentral lists this ribosomal RNA (399 nucleotides) under uncultured bacterium. RNAcentral's name for it is "partial 16S ribosomal RNA". It matches the Rfam family "Bacterial small subunit ribosomal RNA", at positions 360 to 776 of the family's 1533-position model. The record is from RNAcentral.